RNAcentral lists this ribosomal RNA (253 nucleotides) under uncultured bacterium. RNAcentral's name for it is "partial 16S ribosomal RNA". It matches the Rfam family "Bacterial small subunit ribosomal RNA", at positions 524 to 776 of the family's 1533-position model. The record is from RNAcentral.
UACGUAGGGUGCGAGCGUUAAUCGGAAUUACUGGGCGUAAAGUGUGCGCAGGCGGCAGAGCAAGUCGAGUGUGAAAGCCCCGGGCUUAACUUGGGAAUUGCGCUCGAAACUACUUUGCUGGAGUGUGGCAGAGGAAGGUGGAAUUCCACGUGUAGCGGUGAAAUGCGUAGAGAUGUGGAGGAACACCAAUGGCGAAGGCAGCCUUCUGGGCCAACACUGACGCUCAUGCACGAAAGCUAGGGGAGCAAACAGG